RNAcentral lists this long non-coding RNA (502 nucleotides) under Felis catus (domestic cat). RNAcentral describes it as "lncRNA (ENSFCAG00000042265.2)". Lineage: Eukaryota; Metazoa; Chordata; Mammalia; Carnivora; Felidae. The record is from RNAcentral.
AUGCCACAAACAUAUUUUUAUAAUAAUCAGGUAAAGACCCACCGGGACGAGCUGCCUUCUUCCUCCGAGAGCACACCUCCUCCCAGAUGCUACGAGAAUAGCAAGGGGAUACAUGUUACAUUGCCAGCAAGCAGAAGGUCCUUUGCAAGAGGUCAGCGGUGGGACUUUGCGAGCACCGCCUCUUCAGACCCCGGCGGCAUCAGCCAGCAGGCGGCGCGUUUCCCCGCCCGGAAAUCCGUCUGCUCCCGCGGAGGCCCAGCUGCCGCAGGCUGCGACUCCUCUCCCGAUUAAAUGAAUUGGUGAAAUAGUGGAGCACAGGAUGGAAAAAGCCUGGUGUCUUAACCACUGUGGAAGCUCAUCUACUGACACGGUACUGUGACGUGACUGUCUUCAAAUUUAAUUUCUGUUUCUUUAAGCCUGUGGAUAUUUGCUUUGCAAUAUUUCAGGUUGCGGCAGUUUUCACAACCAGAGCUUCUGAACUCUUUGAAGGAUUUUAAUAAGU